GUGACUAGCUGUGUGAGCCGAGAUGAUGGCCAGGCUCGGUGUGUUGAUGCUGCUAGUGACCGCGGGGUUUAUGCAGCUGUUGCUGCUUUCCGAAGGCGCACCUCUUCCGGAUCCACAAUCAGCAGGAGGUUCUGCAAAGGAGCCAGACUUCCCAGUAACUCUUUUGCUGGUGGUUUCCGUCUCCGUGCUGGUGGCCUUUGUUGUGCUGCUGCUCAACUGUGUGACUUGCUGCAAAGAACGAGAGAUCAACUUUAAGGAGUUUGAAGACAACUUCGAGGAUGAGAUCGACUUCACACCUCCGGCAGAAGACACGCCCUCUAUGCAGUCUCCGGCUGAGGUGUACACCCUGGCUGUGCCACCAGUGCCAAUGCCUGGACCUCCGCACCUCCAGCUGCCCCGGAUAGCAGAUGUUUCGUCAGGCCCACAUGUAGCACGCCACACUCUCAGUUACAUUCAGGAGAUCGGGAGCGGCUGGUUUGGCAAGGUUUUACUCAGUGAGAUCUACUCAGACGCCAGUGUAGCCAGAGUGGUGGUCAAUGAGCUGAAAGCCAACGCCAGCUCCAAAGAACAAAAUGAAUUCCUUCAGCAGGGAGACCCGUACAGGGUCCUUCAUCAUCCAAAUAUCCUACACUGCCUGGGCCAGUGUGUGGAGGCCAUUCCUUUCUUACUCGUCUUUGAGUACAGUGAACUGGGGGACCUGAGGAGCUACGUCGCCCAGCACGCCUGGCUGUACAGAAACGGAGAGCUGCUGCAGCUGCAGAAGAUGGCUUGCGAGAUCGCUGCUGGACUUACUCACAUGCACAAGCACAACUUCCUGCACAGUGAUUUGGCAUUGAGAAACUGCUAUCUUACAACAGACAUGACUGUCAAAAUAGGAGACUACGGUAUCGGCCCUUCAAGGUUCAAAGAGGAUUAUAUCACUACAGAGGAGGACCAGUGUGUAGCGUUGCGCUGGCUUCCGCCCGAGCUAGUCGGUGAGCUGCAUGGAGGUGUGAUAACAUCAGAACAGACUAAACCCAGUAACGUUUGGGCAUUGGGUGUGACCUUGUGGGAGCUCUUUGAGGCAGGAGCGCAACCCUAUACGCAUCUAACAGAUAAAGAGGUCCUGCACCAUGUGAUCAGAGAUCAACAAAUCAAACUCCUUAAGCCUCACUUAGAUCUCCCUUACUCGGAACGAUGGUAUGAGGUGCUCCAGUUUUGCUGGCUGCCUGCAGAUAAAAGAGCCACAGCUGAGGAAAUUCACCGCUUACUGACAUACCUCAGGAUGCAGGGUCAGAAAGAAAUCGGAGACGACUUCGAGCAGCGGUGGAGCUCUCUUAAACCUAACCCUACCGCCCGCCAGACCACAGUCAGCCAUUCGUCCUUCCCCAUCCUAGAGCAGUUCGACGACGGACGGGAACCGGACGAGAUGCUCACCGUGACCGAGACGAGCCACGGGCUCAGUUUUGAGUACGUCUGGGAAGCGGCCAAGCACGACCACUACGACAGCCACAACCGCUCCUCCAUGGAAACCACCCUGAAUUACCACAGCAUGUUCUUUCCUGUGCCGCAGCAGGACAUUCAGGCUCGUUUUCCCGACACGAGAGUCGAAUCCGAUCCAGGAAGAAUACCAGGGACCUUGCCUGUCUUCGAUGCCCGAGAGGGCAACUCCAGGAACGAGUACUACAUUCAGUUAGAAGAGCACGACAGAAGUAAAUUGGGUGCUGAAGGAGCCGCUGCGUCAGACCAGGAGCAGUACGUCGUCCUGCAGGACAUCAGGCUAGACGAGUCUAGCACGGAAGCGGAUUUCUUCCAUCAGAGCAUAGACUCUAAGGAUUCUUUUCUACAGGACAGCCAUAUCUGGUCUUCAAGUGACCAUGAGAGUCCUUAUCAUGCUGAUAUCUUUAGCGAGAACGACUUAAAGUCUGAGGAGGCGCAUUCUUUUAGUCGUGGUUUGAUGGAGCUUCCAGAUUUUGGCUCAAACAGGAGCUGUUCCUUUAACGGUGACAGUGAGGGUACUCCUGUCGGGAAUAGAGAUACAGUAGGCGUGAUGACGUUUCUUAACUCCGAAAAGCUGGUCGACAACUACCUGUUUCUCAGCGAUAACAGGCUCAUGAAGGGGAGUCGGAAUUCGCAAGAAUCAGACGUGCAGCAAGCAGGUUCAUCACUAAAUCCCUUUGAUGUCGAUGCCUCGAAUGCAUUCAGCUUCACCGACGACUCCUCGAAAUCAGACGUUACCUCUACGCUGCUAAGGGAUGAAUUUUUGGACCUGGUGAGCCCAAUUUUAAAAGAUUUUUUAUCACCUUUAAACGAAGGUAAAACCCUGGUGCCUUCAGACAUCUUCUCAACGGAAGAAACCUGUAGCAACAAGACGCCCGAGAUGAACGGCUCUCUUAAUAGGGAAAACGCUGAUUUGGAUUCCUCGAAGGGUUGGAUUUCGUCUACUUCUGAGUCUACCUCUGAGGUUACUGUUCAGGAAGCAUGCAGUACCCAUCAGUUUAGUGAUAAAAGUGCCACCGCAGACGUUCUGCCCACAGACGACAAGCCGUCUGAUCUUGAAGAAAGCCUCAUAGUUUUGGAGAACGGCCAGCACUUCACCACAGGAACUGACUUUUCAGAGCCAGUAGAUAAAUCCGCGGAAGGAGUGGACAGCGGCAUAACCGAAGGCUUGACGAGCAGUGACUCCAUCACCGACAUGCUCUCAGAAGGCGAGCUAAGCAGAAAAAUGGACGACCAUUCAUUGCAAGACGACCUGGAUCAACCGGAAGCCUUUUUGGACAACCAUCUACCUGAUAUCAUGACAUCAGACUCUUGUUUGGACCAGAUCAGUCAGGACAGCCUUCUGGAAGACAGUGUUUCAUUCAGCAUACCAGCUGUCGAGAAAUCGGGAACACCCGAGACUCCUGAUUCGUUAGAUUUCCAGGAUAUGCAUCGGGACUUGGGAACUGACAAAUCGCAGCCGCCUUUGAUAACUCAUAAGCUCCAACCGCCGUACAAACCCGCAGAUAGCGGGUACGAAACUGAGAACGUCGAGUCACCUGAGUGGAACUCUCAACCAGACUCGGAGGAGGCAAGGACUACAGAAGAGGCAUCUGCGAUCUCGCAGGGUCCUCCGGAAAUCGUGGUGUCGGAUGCGGACCUGGUACCUGACGUUCAGGAAAACGGAGGUGCUCAGCAUCCAGAAGUUGGUGAAGCCCCAGCCGGUGGAAGCUAUCGAGAUUCGGCGUACUUUUCCGAUAAUGAAGAACUGGAUAAGAAAAGCGAUGACGUCAACGGAGGAACUCCUGCAGAUGUCUUAGCUUGGGAUGAGAGCUCUUCCGCAAGUGGGUCGACAGGAGGUGUUUCACUUCUACCAGAUGUUAAAGAGUCUGACAAUGGUGGUCAGCAAGACGAAUCUCCUGAUAUUGAUGACCUGUCCGGUGUCAAACCAGAGUUUGAACUCUCUCCAGAAGAGGACUGGGACGAAGUCAAGCCAGCGCCUGUCGAUCGCUCUAGGAAAGAGCAGAAGUUCGAAACGUCCUCUGACCUACAAGAUCUGAUUCACCCCGCUCCGUUCUCCGGACCUCAAGAAGCAACACCCUCUACCUCGCAGACUCCGUCAGCGGACAUUGUGGUCCAUGCUAAGCUCGUAAGGACUUACGCUGGAGAAGUCCCCAAGAAAAAGGAGCCGGACAUGGAAGGCCGAUAUCUCGGCAAGCUGGAUGGAGCCGCGGUGACCGGUGGCUCGGAAGACGGCGCGGAGGCCGACGAAGAGGACGAGAACAGCGAUGACUCGGACGAGGACAUGCGCGCUUACAGACUGCACAGCUCCAGCUCCGAAAGCGAGGACGACGUGGUGCAUCCGGUGCCCGUGAUAGUCUCGGACAGUAGCCACAGCUGCAACCUCAAGAGCCUGCUCAAACCCAAGUCCCUUCAGAUAGCCAAAUCUACAGCAACGGAGGAAAGUAAGGAGACAGAAAACAGGAGAUCGGUGUCCUUCUUCGAUGAUGUCACGGUUUACCUCUUUGACCAGGAAACCCCAACAAAAGAACUUGGAGAUCUCACGUUAGGCUCUAGCAGCCAGGUGUCCGAAUUUAGCAGCCCAGUGACUUCCUCCAGCUACCUUAACAGGUUCACCAACUCGGAAAGUUCCACAGAUGAAGAAGGCGGUGCGUUCGAGUGGGAUGACGACUUCUCUCCUGAUCCCUCCUUCCUUUCAAAAGCAGCCGGCGACCACUCCGCAGGCAAAGCCGCAGCGUCCUCGCACUACUUCUCGCCACCCCCUGCAUCUCGCACCUCUGAGUCGAGCUGGAGCUCCUCUACGUACUCCCGCUUCUCCAUCUCUCCGGCUAGCAUCGCCAGCUUCUCCCUCACUCACCUCACCGAUUCUGACAUCGAACAAGGAGGAAGCAGUGAAGAUGGAGAAAAGGAUUAAAGAUGUAUCAGAAGGAAUUAUAAAGUAUUUGGGCUGAAGAACACAUUUGAGACUGUGAAUCAUUCAUCUUAAGGACCGGUGAUUAUACUGCAGGUUUAGGACUAGAUCUAGGGUCUGACAAUGAUCUAAUAUGUGCAGUGAAGAGACUGGAGAAAGCCUGGAGAUCCUUAUCCAGAAUUUAUUAGAAGACAAGGAGAACAUCAAGGAACACAAAACACUUUACAGAGCUGCUUUUAUUUAACAGCGUUAUCCCAAACGGCUUGGCGGGACAGAAGCCGGACAGUUUCUUUGCUCAGCUGUUGCCAGAUAUUGGCUUUUUUUCACGGUUAUCAUUUUCCCAGAUGCUUUC
RNA transcript from Trichomycterus rosablanca, 4742 nucleotides. It is a transcript of the gene named lemur tyrosine kinase 2, with no coding region annotated. The transcript is spliced from 16 exons. The record is from RefSeq and is a predicted model, not a curated record. NCBI's taxonomy places the organism in Eukaryota, Metazoa, Chordata, Actinopteri, Siluriformes, Trichomycteridae.